UACAGAGGUCCCAAGCGUUGUUCGGAUUCACUGGGCGUAAAGGGUGCGUAGGCGGUCGGGUAAGUCUGAUGUGAAAUCUCCGAGCCUAACUCGGAAACUGCAUUGGAUACUAUUCGGCUUGAGAGUUGGAGGGGGGACUGGAAUUCUCGGUGUAGCAGUGAAAUGCGUAGAUAUCAGGAGGAACACCGAUGGCGAAGGCAGGUCUCUGGGCCACUACUGACGCUGAGAAGCGAAAGCAUGGGGAGCGAACAGG
Molecule: ribosomal RNA, 253 nt
Filed under: uncultured bacterium
Lineage: Bacteria
Description: partial 16S ribosomal RNA
Rfam family: Bacterial small subunit ribosomal RNA
Source: RNAcentral